GCCGAGGCUGGCACCGGCUUGAACGAAGGAGACCUGAAUGGCGGUGGCAGAGGCGACACGCUCUCCCUGCAGGGCCCAGGGCAGCGGGGGAUCGCGGAUCCGGGCUGGUCCAGGGCUCUGAGGCGCCUCCGUGGGCCGAGCCCACCCGGCCUUUCCUGGGCUCCGGCCCGAUCCUUCCCCCCCUUCCCUCCCUCGCUCCCUGUCUCCCUCGUGGCUCUGGGGAACCCCACCCACAGCGGACCCCAGGCCCGAGGCUCAGCCGCCCGGCCCCCAUGCCUGGCCGGGCACUCGGCCACUCCCGCCCUCCGUCCCCGGCCGCCGGUUGCGGUUUGGCCCCCGGGGGCGCGGGCACGCCCCCGGUCCGGUGCCCCCAGCAGCGCCGUCCCGGGCCCGACUCCGGCCCUCUUGGCGCGGGGCCAUGGGCCGCCUGGACGACCCGGCCAAGCGGAGGAUCGUGGAGCUGCGCAAGGCCGGGCUGAGCUUCCGCAGGAUCCAGAAGGUGCUGGAGCUGGACAACAUCCGGGUGACGCCCCAGGCUGUCUACCUCUUUCUGAAGCGCAAGAACUUGGACCCCUGCCCCUCGCAGCCCCUGCAGCUCCCACAUGCCCCUGACGGCCGGAGCAGCCGGAGGCCAGCCCCGGCCGGCUGGGAGGACCAGCAGCUCUGGGGCCCACUGCAGGAGGGUGGGGCCGAGCCCGGGGACAGGGUGCGGGUGCCCUUAGAGCACGAGCCGGAAGGCGAGGGCACGGACAGCAAAGAGGGCAUCCGGAUCGUCAGCGUGACCUCAUUGAGUAAGGGCGGGGACGCCCGCGGCGAGGACCCCGGCCUGCCCACGGGAUGCCCCGACCUGACCCCCGCCAAUAGCGACCCCUGCCCCGCCGCCACCAGCCCGGGGGGCAGGUCGACCAGCGUCCGGCCGGGCCCUGCCGCCACCCUGAGCCGGGGACGCAGCCCGCUGCUGACCCCCAGGAACCCCGCCCUCAUUGUCCGGAAGAAGAUCGUGGACCGAGCCCUCCUCCUCCAGAAGAAAGCCGGUGUCCACAACGGUCAAGGGGGCUCGAGCACCUCCCCGCUCCCGCCUCUGCUCGUGGGGAUGCAGCCGGCCUGCCCCGCCAGGCCCUGCGGGGGUCUGGCUGCCCUGCCUCGCCCUUUGGGGCCCAGCCCACAGGUGAAGGACGCAGGCACCCAGACAGGCCCUGGCCCUCCCCCGCUCUGGGCCGGUCAGCAUGGCGGGGAAGGUCCUCCUGCGGCGGGCAGUGCCCAGGGCCUGUGGCAGAAGCUGGAGACCCUGCAUCGGGACGUGCAGGCUUUGCUGCAGGGGCUGCAGGGGCUGAGCGAGCGGCAGGGCCGGCUGGAGCGGCAGCAGGAGCAGCAGCAGCGCUGCCAGCAGGAGACGCUGGCCACGCUGCGACAGCUCAGCGGGGCCCUGACCGUGGGGGCCUUGGCCGGGGUGACCGGGGACACCCCCGCCUCCACAGUGCCCGGCUUCAGCCAGUUCAAGAUGGAGCUUCUGUGACCGGCCGGUGCCGGGACGGCGGCCGGAGCCCCGGCCUUCCCCCUGCCAGGGUGGCCGGACGGCCCCUUGGUUGCCCCAUGGGUGACAGGACCCUGGAGAGAGGGAGGGUCACCGGGCCGGACCAGGGGGCAUGUCUGACUGCCCGGCGGGCAGCCUGGGCGUCUCUGUAUAAAGUGAGCGCCACCCAGCCCUCUUGCCUUCCCGUCUCUUUUCUCCCAGGUCGGGCCCGGCCCCUCACCGCCGUGACCGGCCCUUGGCCACGGCCAGUGACUCGAGACGAGAGUCCGCUCCCUCUGACCAUCGGCUUCGCGGUCCGGCCUGGACCGCAGGGGAGCAGGGUCAGGGCCUCGAGGCAGCCAGUGUGAACGGCCAGUGCCGAGGGCCUGCUGUCCAGCCUAUGAGCAAAGAAAAUGACCCCCCCCGCAACCCACCUCAGGGAUAGGCAGUGCAGAGUGGUCCCAUUUGAGGUCCAGAAAAGAAAGGGCAGGGGAGGGACAGAUGGUGAGACAGGAGAAGGGGCUGUUAGAAAGGGGUGGGCUCACAGCUAGACGACCCCUCAUCUCCCUCCUUUCCUCUUCUCCCACCCCCUUCUGCAUUGCCUUGACUUGCUCCCGGAUAGAGCAGGGGCCUGGGAAUCAAGAUCAUGCGUUCUAAUCCCGGCUCCGGCAAUUGUCUGCUGUGUAAUCUCGGGCACGUCAUUUCACUUCUCUGUGCCUCAGUGACCUCGUCUGGAAAAUGGGGUUGGAGACUGUGAGCCCCACGGGGGACAGGGACUGUCCAACCCGAUUUGCUUGUAUCCACCCCAGUGCUCAGUACAGUGCCUGGCACACAGUAAGCGCUUAACAAAUGCCAUUAUUAUUGACUCCCCUCCAGCAACCCCAAAGCACUUAUGCACAUAUCUGUCAUUUAUAUUAAUGACUGUUUCCUCCUCUAGACUGUAAGCUCACUGUGGGCAGGGAAUGUGGCUACCGUUCCACUGUACUCUCCAAAGCACUUUCUACAGUGCUCUGCACACAGUAAGCACUAAAUAAAUACAACUGACUGACUCCCCACCCCCAGGGCAGAGGGCUGAGGAAGUGUAAUCGAAUAAAGAAGCCCUGGCUAAAGCUCCGAUGGAGAAUGUCUGCCCCCAGCCCUUGCCACCUGGACAGAGCCGCUGACCCCGCCGGUCGGUCCCUCGAGGAGGCCAACGUGCUCUACACCGCCCUGCCCCAUCUGUUCACUUGGGACUGGCACCCGGGGCACCGUCCAGCUGCCUGACCCUGCUGCCAGC
This 2789-nucleotide long non-coding RNA is filed under the name Ornithorhynchus anatinus (platypus). Its description in RNAcentral is "lncRNA (ENSOANG00000032783.2)". Lineage: Eukaryota; Metazoa; Chordata; Mammalia; Monotremata; Ornithorhynchidae. The record is from RNAcentral.